This 25-nucleotide non-coding RNA is filed under the name Drosophila erecta. RNAcentral also lists the same sequence under 1 other name. Lineage: Eukaryota; Metazoa; Arthropoda; Insecta; Diptera; Drosophilidae. The record is from RNAcentral.
UUGAUUCGGAAUACCUUCAAUGAGG